This is a long non-coding RNA of Motacilla alba alba, 1774 nucleotides long. RefSeq lists it as uncharacterized. NCBI's taxonomy places the organism in Eukaryota, Metazoa, Chordata, Aves, Passeriformes, Motacillidae. The transcript has 4 exons. The record is from RefSeq and is a predicted model, not a curated record.
CUUUAACAGGAACACAGCAAUGUGCCAAAGGUCAACCGUGUGUCUGCAACAUCAGCCUCAUUACUCAAGCUACACAAUGGGUGGGCCAAGAUGCCUUCAUGCAUGCUUUGUGUUAAUUAUUGUGGAAAAUGCUACUGUAAAGCUGAUUUGUAAAGACCGACUUUGCACAGCCCUAACUCUGUGUGUGCAACCCUAAUAGCGUUCAGCAGCCUCAUCUCAUCAGCGAUGGUUCUCCAGAGACGUGGAAUACUUCUGAAGACCACUACUCCUGGAGGGAAGUAUAGCGCAAGGACUGCUGGACAAGCGUCAUACCCUCAGGAACAUCACCCUCUGCAACCUUGGACAUUGGCACGUUUUUACCAGAGAGACCCAGUGUUUGCCUGAAGAAUGAUGUCAUUGCUCCGUUUGUUUGGCUGCUGCAGUGACCCUUUGGCCUUUACAAGGACAGUCACCUACAGCCCUCAGCCCCGAUAUGAAGAGCCUGGCUGUUUAACCCCACUGGAAGAAAUGCCCCUGUAUUUUUGGCUUCACAGCAGAGUCUGCAGACAAGUACAUCAGGUUUGUGUUUUACUGAAGAUUAUUCAGAGCCACAUGCUGGGCCCUGCCAUCUGCUGAAUUCGGAUACAAUGCCUGUAAAGUUUAAAAUAGACCAAAUGAAACUCUGACUUCGGGAGAGAAACUGCCAAUGCCUUUGGAACUACAACUGUCUCUCACAGAAAACUACCUGUUCUGUUUCAUGAAAGAUGUACCCUUUCUAUACAAAAGUAAGACAAGGUUAAAUUCCAGUACUCAGAGCUUGAUUUUACCUCAGGUCCCUGUUAAAAUGCCUCAAUUUUGAUUGGAGAAGGGCCUGAGAAACCUGGUCUAAUAAGACCUGCUUUGAGUGGGUUUGGAUUAAAAUUAUAAAAUCUCUGCCAAUGCAUGAACAUGGGAGUAUCGUUCUUUGUCAAAUCUAGUGAGGAAAGGUAGAUCUGCCAAUCAGGAAAACAAACAGUGGGACACAGAAAGAAGAGACUAUUAACAGAGUCUUUAUAGAAAGGCUGUUUAUUUUGUGAAAAGUUUGAUUGUAAAUAAAUUUAGUUUCAAAAAACCCAAAAACCAAAAACCAACCAACCAACCAACCAAGAAAACACCAAAACCAAAAAGAAAAAAAAAACAAAACAAACAAACAAAAAAAACCAAAAACCCCAAAAAAAACCACCCCAAAAAACCAAAGCAAACCAAAGCAAACCAAACCAACAAACAAACCAACAAACAAACCACAAAAAAAACCACCCCACCAAACAAUUCAGCCUGUAUCCAGACAAAUUGCUGCUGAAAUACCCAAUCUGGUGAUUCACAGCUCCUCACUACAGGAAGGAAGGCUUUUCUGUCUUCAAAUGCAGUGCCUUCUCAGUAAGACAUUGAUGCCUACUGGAGUUAGAAAAUCCUCUUGGGCUUCUAACCUAGUAGAGACCUGCCAGCUUAUGCCCUGUGUUCUGCCAGCAUCAUGCUCCUUUUGGACAUGCUUUGGAAACAAAUGUAGUAUUUGUUGAAGUUAGUAACUCCCCUGAACUGUCUUGGACAAUAAAGCCUUGGGUCCUGCGGAUGGCCCAUCAAUGGUGCUGCAUUGAAGAAGUCUCCAAACUCUUGGGAACAAACCAACACUCAAGCAAAUCCAUACUGUUUGUUUCAAAAAUAGUCACUAAGCUUGUUUUAAAGGGAAAGAAACCAAGUUCUAAAGGCCACAUUUCAGGGAGCUAAUACCAUACUUUGAACUUCUGUAGUCUGAGAU